GAUGAAGAACGUAGCGAAAUGCGAUAAGUAAUGUGAAUUGCUGAAUUCAGUGAAUCAUCGAAUCUUUGAACGCACAUUGCGCCCCUUGGUAUUCCGAGGGGCAUGCCUGUUCGAGCGUCAUUUUGACCACUCCCGCUUGCGGGGUCUUGGGCCUUCGCCUCUGGGCGGGCCUUAAAAUCAGUGGCGGUGCCGUCCGGCUCUAAGCGUAGUAAAUCUCCUCGCUAUAGGGUUCCGGAGGGAUGCUGGCCAACAACCCCCAACUUUUAAGGUUGACCUCGGAUCAGGUAGGGAUACCCGCUGAACUUAAGCAUAUCAAUAAGCGGAGGA
This 327-nucleotide unclassified non-coding RNA is filed under the name soil metagenome. RNAcentral describes it as "partial contains 5.8S ribosomal RNA, internal transcribed spacer 2, and large subunit ribosomal RNA". The stretch from base 1 to 120 matches the Rfam family "5.8S ribosomal RNA", at positions 35 to 154 of the family's 154-position model. The record is from RNAcentral.